AAAGAAUUAGUUAAAACAUAACAUAAAUAUGUCAAAUUUAAAUUAUUAAUACUUAAUAUUCUUUU
This 65-nucleotide transfer RNA is filed under the name Pseudandraca sp. 1 MD-2023a. Its description in RNAcentral is "tRNA-Asp". The record is from RNAcentral. Lineage: Eukaryota; Metazoa; Arthropoda; Insecta; Lepidoptera; Endromidae.